RNAcentral lists this unclassified non-coding RNA (336 nucleotides) under soil metagenome. Its description in RNAcentral is "partial contains 5.8S ribosomal RNA, internal transcribed spacer 2, and large subunit ribosomal RNA". The stretch from base 1 to 120 matches the Rfam family "5.8S ribosomal RNA", at positions 35 to 154 of the family's 154-position model. The record is from RNAcentral.
GAUGAAGAACGUAGCGAAAUGCGAUAAGUAGUGUGAAUUGCAGAAUUCAGUGAAUCAUCGAAUCUUUGAACGCACAUUGCGCCCCUCGGUAUUCCGUGGGGCAUGCCUGUUCGAGCGUCAUCUACACCCUCAAGCUCUGCUUGGUGUUGGGCGUCUGUCCCGCCUCCGCGCGUGGACUCACCCCAAAUUCAUUGGCAGCGGUCCUUGCCUCCUCUCGCGCAGCACAUUGCGCUUCUUGAGGGGCUCCGGUUCGCGUCCAACAAGCACAUUUACCGUCUUUGACCUCGGAUCAGGUAGGGAUACCCGCUGAACUUAAGCAUAUCAAUAAGCGGAGGA